This 253-nucleotide ribosomal RNA is filed under the name uncultured bacterium. RNAcentral's name for it is "partial 16S ribosomal RNA". It matches the Rfam family "Bacterial small subunit ribosomal RNA", at positions 524 to 776 of the family's 1533-position model. The record is from RNAcentral.
UACGUAGGGGGCAAGCGUUGUCCGGAAUUAUUGGGCGUAAAGCGCGCGCAGGCGGUCUCUUAAGUCUGAUGUGAAAGCCCACGGCUCAACCGUGGAGGGUCAUUGGAAACUGGGAGACUUGAGUGUAGGAGAGGAAAGUGGAAUUCCACGUGUAGCGGUGAAAUGCGUAGAGAUGUGGAGGAACACCAGUGGCGAAGGCGACUUUCUGGCCUAUAACUGACGCUGAGGCGCGAAAGCGUGGGGAGCAAACAGG